RNAcentral lists this long non-coding RNA (1389 nucleotides) under Sorghum bicolor (sorghum). Its description in RNAcentral is "long non-coding RNA (SBIC_LNC014783)". The record is from RNAcentral. Lineage: Eukaryota; Viridiplantae; Streptophyta; Magnoliopsida; Poales; Poaceae.
GGCGGCUAACGGUGAAUUUUGGCUCAGGAGCGGCAUCUUCGACAUCGAUGUAGUGGAUCCGACAAGUGGCAAUAACACACGCGUGGAUGGGUAGCAGGCUUGAUUGGGCCUAACAGCGGGCUCCAUUGGGCUCACUAUGGUUCUUUUUAAUUUUUUUAAAUCAUUGAACGGAGGCGGGCAGCUUAUUGCGAGCACCUCCAUAAAUCUAGGCGGGCGAGGCAACCACCUCCAUUAACCGAGGCAUUUAAUUAUUAGAGGCAGUUGCAAUGCCCACCUUUAUUAAUCUAUUUUGUCCGCCUCCGAUAAGAAUAGUGUAGUAGUGUUAUCUAUGCUUAUAAAUUUAUGAUUAUUGAAUAGUAUAAUUUUUUAUAAAUCUAAUCAUAUAGAGGAUGUUACUUCCUUCAUCUUAUAUAGGGUUUAGGGUUAUCAUAACUCAAAGUAGCUACAAAAUAAGUUAUUUUGUAACCAGCUAUAGGGUAGUAGAUCUAUAUAUAUAAAGUCAAACAUCUGACUCAAGCAUCCAUUAGAAAACAUAGGCAACUACCUCGUAUCAUUUAGGAUGCCUGAUAUGUUGCUUCCUUCAUCGUGUGUGUGUGUGAGUAUACUGUCCGUACGAACGACAAUAUUUAGGUAUACACAAAUUAGGACUGAAAUAUAUACAAACUAAAACAAUCAAAAUAUGGUUUUUCCCGGCAUAAGACUUGGCUAUUACAGCUCAACACAUCACAAUGCAAACCAUUCGUAUAUGAUUUAGGAAAUCAUAUUUAGUGACAUUAAUUUAAAUAUCUUAAAUAAAAAACAAAAAAAAGAAGAAUAUUAUGCUUUGCUUCGCUAUAGAAAAAAUUGUUUUCAUAAAUUGGUCCUCUCUCAAAUUGUAUUCGGAUUUCCUUUUUGAAUAAUCACUACACGAGAAACCUCUCUUUAGCAAUAGAUAUUUGCUUGGCAACACAUAAUUUAUUCAUUGCAAAGGUAUAAUAUAUAUGGCAAUGAUUACUAACUGUUUGAAGCAGCAUUACCUUUACGCAAAGUGAUCUGUAUUCUCGCAAAGUGUUAUGUAUCAUGUACUGUACGCAAUUCCUCCGGGUCCAAUACUCCUCGGCCGUACCUUCUAAAAAUCAAAUGUUAAUUACGACUAAAACAAUUCCCAAUAACCAGCCAAGCAAUUAAACUUUGAGGCCUCUUAGUCUUUUGUGUUUGCCCACCAAACAAAUUCUUUUACAAAUGAGGAUACAAAGCACAUAAGCCCACGACCUGACGGCCCCAUCUCCCAUCCAGUAGGACAGUACGCAAGAAAAUCCAAAAUUUUAAAAAUAAUAUGUUUGAUAUAAUUUGGAAAUUGAUUUUUUUAAAAGAUAUGAAAAUCCAUUUUUUUAAAAUAUGUUACACAUG